This is a long non-coding RNA of Gadus macrocephalus (Pacific cod), 705 nucleotides long. RefSeq lists it as uncharacterized. The transcript has 2 exons. NCBI's taxonomy places the organism in Eukaryota, Metazoa, Chordata, Actinopteri, Gadiformes, Gadidae. The record is from RefSeq and is a predicted model, not a curated record.
CCCAGGGGUUUCUGGAGGUUAGCGCUGUGUUUCUCCUCUAUUCUCUCCCAUCAUUGUUCUAUAGCAAAUUUUUUCCCAUAAAAUAUUCUCAUGAUUUUCAUUAGAGAAAUGAUGGAGAGAAUACUUUUUAUGGUAAAAGGAGGUUUAGAAAAAUGAUGGAGAGAAUAAAAAAUCGAGAAAAAGGUGGUAUAGUAAAUUGGAGAGAAAACGUAUAUAUUUUAUUUAUUAAUUUUAAAAGAGGUAUAGAAAAAUUAUGGAGAAUAAAAAAUAGGGAGAAAGGAGGUAUAGAAAAUGUUUGAGAGAGUAUACAUCUUUUGGAAAAAGGAGGUAUAGAAAAUGAUGGAGAGAAUAUUUUUUUUGGAAAAAGGAGGUGUAGAAAAUUAUGGAGUGAAUAAAAAAAUCGAGAAAAAGGUGGUAUAGAAAAUGAUCAAGAGAAUAUAUUUUUUGGGAAAAAGGAGGUAUAGAAAAUGAUGGAGAGAAUAUCUUUUUUUGGAAAAAGGAGGUAUAGAAAAUUAUGGAGAGAAUAAAAAAAUCGAGAUAAAGGUGGUAAAGAAAAUGAUCAAGAGAAUAUAUUUUUGGGGAAAAAGGAGGUUUAGAAAAUGGAGAGAAUAUAUUUUUGGGAAAAAUAAGGUAUAGAAAAUGAUGGAGAAUAUAUUAUCUGGAAAAGGAGGUAGAGAAAAUUAUGGAGAGAAUAAAAAAUCUAGA